RNAcentral lists this ribosomal RNA (392 nucleotides) under uncultured Alphaproteobacteria bacterium. Its description in RNAcentral is "bacterial SSU rRNA". It matches the Rfam family "Bacterial small subunit ribosomal RNA", at positions 370 to 779 of the family's 1533-position model. Lineage: Bacteria; Pseudomonadati; Pseudomonadota; Alphaproteobacteria. The record is from RNAcentral.
AAUGGGGGCAACCCUGAUCCAGCCAUGCCGCGUGAAUGAAGAAGGCCUUAGGGUUGUAAAGUUCUUUCAGUUGCGAAGAUAAUGACGGUAACAACAGAAGAAGCUCCGGCUAAAUUCGUGCCAGCAGCCGCGGUAAUACGAAUGGAGCGAGCGUUGUUCGGAAUCACUGGGCGUAAAGCGUAUGUAGGCGGAGUGGAAAGUCAGGAGUGAAAUCCCAGGGCUCAACCCUGGAACUGCUUCUGAAACUUCCAUUCUAGAAUUCUGGAGAGGCAAGGGGAAUUCCGAGUGUAGAGGUGAAAUUCGCAGAUAUUCGGAGGAACACCAGUGGCGUAGGCGCCUUGCUGGACAGAUAUUGACGCUGAGAUACGAAAGCGUGGGGAGCAAACAGGAUU